RNAcentral lists this ribosomal RNA (256 nucleotides) under uncultured bacterium. Its description in RNAcentral is "partial 16S ribosomal RNA". It matches the Rfam family "Bacterial small subunit ribosomal RNA", at positions 524 to 776 of the family's 1533-position model. The record is from RNAcentral.
UACGUAGGGUGCAAGCGUUGUCCGGAAUUAUUGGGCGUAAAGAGCUCGUAGGCGGUUUGUUGCGUCGGCUGUGAAAUCCCGAGGCUCAACCUCGGGUCUGCAGUCGAUACGAGCAAACUAGAGUGUUGCAGGGGAGACUGGAAUUCCUGGUGUAGCGGUGAAAUGCGCAGAUAUCAGGAGGAACACCGGUGGCGAAGGCGGGUCUCUGGGCAACAACUGACGCUGGAGGAGCGGAAAUGCAUGGGGAGCGAACAGG